RNAcentral lists this ribosomal RNA (253 nucleotides) under uncultured bacterium. RNAcentral describes it as "partial 16S ribosomal RNA". It matches the Rfam family "Bacterial small subunit ribosomal RNA", at positions 524 to 776 of the family's 1533-position model. The record is from RNAcentral.
UACAGGGGGUGCAAACGUUGCUCGGAAUUAUUGGGCGUAAAGCGCACGUAGGCGGCGCCGUAAGUCAGGGGUGAAAUCCCGGAGCUCAACUCCGGAACUGCCCUUGAAACUGCAGUGCUAGAAUCUUGGAGAGGCGAGUGGAAUUCCGAGUGUAGAGGUGAAAUUCGUAGAUAUUCGGAAGAACACCAGUGGCGAAGGCGACUCGCUGGACAAGUAUUGACGCUGAGGUGCGAAAGCGUGGGGAGCAAACAGG